RNAcentral lists this ribosomal RNA (700 nucleotides) under Shigella boydii. RNAcentral describes it as "partial 23S ribosomal RNA". It matches the Rfam family "Bacterial large subunit ribosomal RNA", at positions 550 to 1251 of the family's 2925-position model. Lineage: Bacteria; Pseudomonadati; Pseudomonadota; Gammaproteobacteria; Enterobacterales; Enterobacteriaceae. The record is from RNAcentral.
CUGAAACCGUGUACGUACAAGCAGUGGGAGCCUCUUUAUGGGGUGACUGCGUACCUUUUGUAUAAUGGGUCAGCGACUUAUAUUCUGUAGCAAGGUUAACCGAAUAGGGGAGCCGAAGGGAAACCGAGUCUUAACUGGGCGUUAAGUUGCAGGGUAUAGACCCGAAACCCGGUGAUCUAGCCAUGGGCAGGUUGAAGGUUGGGUAACACUAACUGGAGGACCGAACCGACUAAUGUUGAAAAAUUAGCGGAUGACUUGUGGCUGGGGGUGAAAGGCCAAUCAAACCGGGAGAUAGCUGGUUCUCCCCGAAAGCUAUUUAGGUAGCGCCUCGUGAAUUCAUCUCCGGGGGUAGAGCACUGUUUCGGCAAGGGGGUCAUCCCGACUUACCAACCCGAUGCAAACUGCGAAUACCGGAGAAUGUUAUCACGGGAGACACACGGCGGGUGCUAACGUCCGUCGUGAAGAGGGAAACAACCCAGACCGCCAGCUAAGGUCCCAAAGUCAUGGUUAAGUGGGAAACGAUGUGGGAAGGCCCAGACAGCCAGGAUGUUGGCUUAGAAGCAGCCAUCAUUUAAAGAAAGCGUAAUAGCUCACUGGUCGAGUCGGCCUGCGCGGAAGAUGUAACGGGGCUAAACCAUGCACCGAAGCUGCGGCAGCGACGCUUAUGCGUUGUUGGGUAGGGGAGCGUUCUGUAAGCCUG